Aquila chrysaetos chrysaetos is the source of this 1643-nucleotide long non-coding RNA. RefSeq lists it as uncharacterized. NCBI's taxonomy places the organism in Eukaryota, Metazoa, Chordata, Aves, Accipitriformes, Accipitridae. The record is from RefSeq and is a predicted model, not a curated record. The transcript has 5 exons.
GCGCCCACCAAGCCUUUUGGAAAGGGAGGGAGAAGAACGCUUGUGGUGUUGAGCUGACAGAGAACAAUGCAACACUGUGCUCCAUUUCAGCAACAAGGUUACAGCUCCAUAUUGCCAGGAGGUUGAGGAGAGCAGCAGUGACCAGGAAAGAUUUGCUGCUGCCCAACACUCAGCAGCCCUAUCUCAGCAAAACCUGAAGCAAAGGCAAAUUGCUCUGAAUUCUCCCACUUGCAUAAGGCCAGUAACGAAUUUUUUGCCCAUGGAUGUUGUGUGUGGUGGAGCCAGGGACUCCACUGGUGCUUCCCAGCUGCACAGUGCCUUUUCCCUCAUCAAGGGGAGAAGGGUGGCCAGCCUGAUACUGCUGACUGUGCAGCUCCAAGCAUCUUCCAUCUCUCUUUAGCAAUGGCGUGCUGCCACUUGACUGAAGACCCAAACACCAAAUAAACUGUUAUAGGGUAAAGAGGGACAAGAAAUAACUCCUCAAUACCUUGAGGAAAGAUGUUAACGUCAAAUAAAAUUAACCCACCAGCAAAAACCAGCUUGUCUUCUGUUAUGGAUGGACUGCAAAGAAAUAAGGAGACAUUUGUACAGAGGCAUUUCUGUGACAAUCUCCUCCACUCAUCCAGAAGUCUUUUGCCAGCCAUUUUCACACUCAAGGAUAGCAUUAAUCUUGUGGUGGAAAACCUUAUAAAAAUGAAAGCUGUUGUCACUGUUAGCAAUCAAGAAGCCCUCCUUAGCUUUCAUGCAACCCUGAAACUUCCCCCUGAAAAGAUGCUUCCCAGAAAGCAGGAAACCUGUCACUGAGCUCCUAAGGAUUCCUGGGUUUCAGCAAUUUUCAAAAGUUUCUCUGCAAAAAUUUCCAAUUUUGGUCCCUUCCAUCUGCCAGGCAGUAUUCCUGUUUUCCUUCUUUGCUGUAGCGGCAGGAACCAACCUGGUUGUCAUCAGUUUGCAUGAGCAAGACUGUGCAGAGGUAAUCAAUCAGACAAACGAACCUGCCAAGGAAUCGAAAAAGAGCAUCAAGAAAAUUUGAGCAUUCAGUUCUCUCUGAUCUCAUCUUUCAGCUCACUGAUUGCUGGAACUCCACUGAGUUCCUCCUGCUACAGGAACUAAGAUGUCUGGGCACCUUACAACACUGGGCUCACCACUCAUAGGUUACCUGUGAUCAAACUGUAAGGGAAACCAGCACUGAGGCAUUUUUGAGGGGAAAAAAAUUACAAUUUCCUUUUUUGUUUUGUUUUGUUACUGGAAUUGUAUAGCAAACUAAUCCAUUCCCUAUCGAUUGGAUUUUCACAAUUUUAGCAUCCAAAGUUCUUUUUCUUUAACAUUAAAUCCUUAAUACUAGGUAUUUGGAAGUGUUUAAGCCCUGAAGGAAAGGAAAAGCUUCAGGUGCUUUUGAAAAUAUAAGCAGAUCUCUGUAUUUUUCACUUGUUAACCAGUAGACUUUUUUGUUGGGAAAGGCACAGGGGUCAGUCUCUUUGCCCCAAAGGUCAGGAGAUAAAGAAAACAGUGGGCCUUGCUUGUCUUGUUCAUCAUUUGGGGAGAGUUUAUGCUUCUUUAGACAGGUGUUGGGCCAUGAUUAGGUGUAUUGCAGUUAAAAAAGAGAAAGAGACACAUACAGAUGCACACAGAGAUCAGUCCAUGGG